UACGUAGGGUGCAAGCGUUAAUCGGAAUUACUGGGCGUAAAGGGCGCGUAGGCGGCUUAUCAAGUCAGGCGUGAAAUUCCCGGGCUCAACCUGGGGGCUGCGCUUGAUACUGAUGAGCUUGAAUGCGGGAGAGGAUAGUGGAAUUCCCAGUGUAGAGGUGAAAUUCGUAGAUAUUGGGAAGAACACCGGUGGCGAAGGCGGCUAUCUGGCCCGUAAUUGACGCUGAGGCGCGAAAGCGUGGGGAGCAAACAGG
This 253-nucleotide ribosomal RNA is filed under the name uncultured bacterium. RNAcentral describes it as "partial 16S ribosomal RNA". It matches the Rfam family "Bacterial small subunit ribosomal RNA", at positions 524 to 776 of the family's 1533-position model. The record is from RNAcentral.